UAACACAUGCAAGUCGAACGAGAAAAGCCUUCGGGCUUAGUACAGUGGCGAACGGGUGAGUAACGCGUGGAUUAUCUGCCCUUUAGUGGAGAAUACCUUCGAGAAAUUGGAGUUAAUACUGCAUAUGUUCCUUCGGGAAGAAAGAUGGCCUCUUUGCUGUCGCUAAAGGAUGAGUCUGCGUACUAUUAGCUAGUUGGUAGGGUAAAGGCCUACCAAGGCUAUGAUGGUUAGCCGGCCUGAGAGG
Molecule: ribosomal RNA, 244 nt
Filed under: Candidatus Babelota bacterium
Lineage: Bacteria
Description: partial 16S ribosomal RNA
Rfam family: Bacterial small subunit ribosomal RNA
Source: RNAcentral